Molecule: ribosomal RNA, 363 nt
Filed under: Laternea triscapa
Lineage: Eukaryota; Fungi; Basidiomycota; Agaricomycetes; Phallales; Phallaceae
Description: SSU rRNA
Rfam family: Bacterial small subunit ribosomal RNA
Source: RNAcentral
GCGUAAAGGGUUUGUAGGCAGCUUUAAAUUAAUUAAAGAUAGAAUCAUAUAGAGGUCACAGUCAGAUAAUUCUUAGAGUAGGGUUUAUAUCUGUAGAUACUAAGAGGAAUACUUAUUAGCGAAGGCACUUUUCCAAAUUAUGAUUGACGCUGAGAAACGAAGGGGAGGAUAGAUAAUAGGAUUAGAUACCCUGGUAUUCCUCUCUGUCAACGAUGAAUGGUAGUUGCUAGUAUACUAUAUUAGUGGCGAUGCUAACGCGUUAACCAUUCCGCCUUGUGAGUACGAUUGCAAAAUUGAAAACAAAAAAAUUAGUCGGUUUCGGAGCAAACGAAGUGAAGCAUGUUAUUUAAUUCGAUAAUCCGC